RNAcentral lists this ribosomal RNA (253 nucleotides) under uncultured bacterium. RNAcentral describes it as "partial 16S ribosomal RNA". It matches the Rfam family "Bacterial small subunit ribosomal RNA", at positions 524 to 776 of the family's 1533-position model. The record is from RNAcentral.
GACAGAGGUCCUGAGCGUUAGGCGGAAUCACUGGGCUUAAAGCGUGUGUAGGCGGCGGCCUAAGUACCUUGUGAAAUCCCACGGCUCACCCGUGGAACUGCUCGGUAUACUGGGUCGCUUGAGCCACUUAGGGGCUACCGGAACAAAUGGUGGAGCGGUGAAAUGCGUAGAUAUCAGGAGGAACACCGGUGGCGAAGGCGGGUCUCUGGGCCGAUACUGACGCUGAGGAGCGAAAGCGUGGGGAGCGAUCCGG